RNAcentral lists this non-coding RNA (21 nucleotides) under Caenorhabditis elegans. The record is from RNAcentral. Lineage: Eukaryota; Metazoa; Nematoda; Chromadorea; Rhabditida; Rhabditidae.
UAGUGAGAGUGUUUUCACUUG